RNAcentral lists this ribosomal RNA (700 nucleotides) under Burkholderia sp. RNAcentral's name for it is "bacterial SSU rRNA". It matches the Rfam family "Bacterial small subunit ribosomal RNA", at positions 59 to 776 of the family's 1533-position model. The record is from RNAcentral. Lineage: Bacteria; Pseudomonadati; Pseudomonadota; Betaproteobacteria; Burkholderiales; Burkholderiaceae.
CAGUCGAACGAUGACGCCCUUCCUUGUGCAUGAUGGGCAAAGGGGUGAGUAUGAGUUGUAUAUUCUACCCUUCCCUCUGGGGCGGGCCCUGGAAUCGGGGUCUAAUAUCGGAUAACACUUUCCUCUGCGAGGAGGAAGGUUGAUCGCUCCAGCUGUGAAGGAUGAACCCGCGGACUAUCAACUUGUUGGUGGGGUGAUGGCCCACCUAGGCGACGACGGGUAGCCGGCCUGAGAGGGCGACCGGCCACACUGGGACUGAGACACGGCCCAGACUCCUACGGGAGGCAGCAGUGGGGAAUAUUGUUUGAUGGGCGAAAGCCUGAUGCAUCGACCCCUGGUGAGGGAUGACGGCCUUCGGGUUGUAUACCUCUUUCUUCUGGGAAGAAACAAAAGUGACGGUACCUGCACAAUAAGCGCCGGCUAACUACGUGCCAGCAGCCGCGGUAAUACAUAUGGCGCAAGCGUUGUCCGGAAUUAUUGGGCGUAAAGAGCUCGUAGGCGGCUUGUCUCGUCGGAUGUGAAAGCCCGGGGCUUAACCCCGGGUCUGCAUUCGAUACGGGCAGGCUAGAGUGUGGUAGGGGAGAUCGGAAUUCCUGGUGUAGAGGUGAAAUGCGCACAUAUCAUGAGGAACACCGGUGGCGAAGGCGGAUCUCUGGGCCAUUACUGACGCUGAGGAGCGAAAGCGUGGGGAGCGAACAGG